UCUGAUGCAGCUCUGUGUCCGCAGGUGCCUUCGACCAGCACGGCUGUCCUCUGGUGGUGUUUCCAGCGGAGGCUCAGGGUAAACUCCCAGAGGAGCUCCGCAGAGAGGAGGUGUCCCACUUCAUACACUACUGUCUGCGCCUGCACAACAUAAGAGGCGAGGAGAGGCUGCUGUCUGUGGUUGUUGAUUUGAGGCAAGCCAACCUCGCCAUCGCACGCUUCAUUGCUGAAACUCUCCUGUUGUUGGAGGAGGAGAUGACCGGGUUAAUGUUUUGUGGUUUAAUCCGCUUGAAGCAUUAGUGAACUACACUAUUAAUCCAACAGUUUGCCGUGAUUGACCCUAGAUGUGUUGCGAAAGGAGUAGCGUGUUCAUGUUUAUUCCCUCUUCGUGUGACUGAGGCACACAUCACUGUGUUUAUAGCUCUAGAUAUCGUCCUUGUACCAAGCCUUGAACGUUCUUUGGCGACACCGAACUGCUCUAAGGCAAUGAAAUGGAGUGGUUGGUGAUAAUGUCACGUAUCGUGCUGUCCUUCAGAGACUUCAUACAGUGUACUUCAGUGCAAACCUGCAGCUGCGUCUCUCACUGAUCAGGGUAUGGUAGAGAAAAGGUGUGUGGCGUUCCCUUUUGAUAAACUUCAGCACCCUUGGUGCAUUGAUUCAGUCUGACUGAUACAAGAAUGCAGAGUUUCCAUCUGGAGUUUUAACAAAAGCACUGUAGCUGUCAAAAGCCAAUCAACAAAAUGAUGCUUUUUGUCAUUCUGCAGACUUCUGUGGACCAAUAAACUGGUUUGUUUGGGUGCAGGUAGUACUGAAUGCAUUGUUCAUUUAGAUGUGCUGCCGUAGCAACACAAAGCUGUCUGAAAAGUGGCACACUUAUUCUUUAAUGAC
RNAcentral lists this long non-coding RNA (887 nucleotides) under Sinocyclocheilus grahami. Its description in RNAcentral is "lncRNA (ENSSGRG00000028360.1)". The record is from RNAcentral. Lineage: Eukaryota; Metazoa; Chordata; Actinopteri; Cypriniformes; Cyprinidae.